UCGGGAAUUUUGGGCAAUGGGCGAAAGCCUGACCCAGCAACGCCGCGUGAAGGAUGAAGUAUUUCGGUAUGUAAACUUCGAAAGAAUAGGAAGAAUAAAUGACGGUACUAUUUAUAAGGUCCGGCUAACUACGUGCCAGCAGCCGCGGUAAUACGUAGGGACCAAGCGUUGUUCGGAUUUACUGGGCGUAAAGGGCGCGUAGGCGGCAAUUCAAGUCAUCUGUGAAAUCUCCGGGCUUAACUCGGAACGGUCAGAUGAUACUGCUUUGCUAGAGUGCAGAAGGGGCAAUCGGAAUUCCUGGUGUAGCGGUGAAAUGCGUAGAUAUCAAGAGGAACACCUGAGGUGAAGACGGGUUGCUGGGCUGACACUGACGCUGAGGCGCGAAAGCCAGGGGAGCAAACGGGAUUAGAUACCCUGGUAGUCCCUGAGCGGGCUGGCAAGGCGCAU
This 447-nucleotide ribosomal RNA is filed under the name uncultured bacterium. Its description in RNAcentral is "bacterial SSU rRNA". It matches the Rfam family "Bacterial small subunit ribosomal RNA", at positions 355 to 825 of the family's 1533-position model. The record is from RNAcentral.